Unclassified non-coding RNA from Erinaceus europaeus (western European hedgehog), 304 nucleotides. Its record names the gene 7SK. It matches the Rfam family "7SK RNA". From Rfam's summary of the family: 7SK was discovered as an abundant small nuclear RNA in the mid-70s but a possible function has only recently been suggested. Two independent studies have found that 7SK RNA binds the CDK9/cyclin T complex (known as elongation factor P-TEFb). P-TEFb activates transcription by phosphorylating the C-terminal domain of RNA polymerase II. NCBI's taxonomy places the organism in Eukaryota, Metazoa, Chordata, Mammalia, Eulipotyphla, Erinaceidae. The record is from Ensembl.
GGAUGUGAGGGAGAUCUGGCUGCGACAUCUGUCACCCCAUUGAUCGCCAGGGUGGAUUCGGCUGAUCUGGCUAGUUAGGCGGGUGUCCCCUUCCUCCCUCGAUGUUCCAUGUGUGUCCCUCCCGAAGCUGUGCGCUCAGUGGAAGAGGGCGGCCUUCCCCGAAUAGAGACAGACCGGUCUUUGGUUGAGGGUAUACGAGUAGCUGCGCUCCCCUGCUAAAACUUCAAACAAGCUCUCAAGGUCCAUAGAAACACAAAGGAUUGUGAAAAGAUACUAUGGAAACUCACAUACCAACAGAUUAGAU